Molecule: ribosomal RNA, 500 nt
Filed under: uncultured fungus
Lineage: Eukaryota; Fungi
Description: eukaryotic LSU rRNA
Rfam family: 5.8S ribosomal RNA (bases 73-226)
Source: RNAcentral
UACGACAAGUGAAAAGUCAUCAUUAUACAUACCCCAGUCUUAUGAAUGUAACAGUUUUAAUAAACAUAAUAAAACUUUUAACAACGGAUCUCUUGGUUCUCGCAUCGAUGAAGAACGCAGCGAAAUGCGAUAAGUAAUGUGAAUUGCAGAAUUCAGUGAAUCAUCGAAUCUUUGAACGCACCUUGCGCUCCUUGGUAUUCCGAGGAGCAUGCCUGUUUGAGUGUCAUGAAACUCUCACCCUUCAACUUUCUUAAUAGUGGUUGGAGGCGUGGACUUGAGCGCUGCUGGUUUUUAUUAACCGGCUCGCUUGAAAUGAAUUAGCAGAUCCUUUUGUAAUCGGUUCCACUCGACGUGAUAAGUAUUUCGCCGAGGACAUCUUAACGGAUGGCCGAGAUAAAGAAAGUCUUUAGAUCCGCUUCUAAUUCUUAGCCUUACGCAAGUAAGCUAAACCCAUUUUAUGAUCUGGCCUCAAAUCAGGUAGGACUACCCGCUGAACUUAA